AUGACAGGGAAAGUUUUUGGUUAAUGGAGGUUUUGUGCAGAGUAAACAUGAUUAUUCUUUGUAUAUUAAACAUUAUGAUGAUGCUUUUGUA
Molecule: long non-coding RNA, 91 nt
Organism: Neltuma alba
Lineage: Eukaryota; Viridiplantae; Streptophyta; Magnoliopsida; Fabales; Fabaceae
Exons: 4
Source: RefSeq, a predicted model, not a curated record